Molecule: long non-coding RNA, 912 nt
Filed under: Homo sapiens (human)
Lineage: Eukaryota; Metazoa; Chordata; Mammalia; Primates; Hominidae
Description: HSALNT0031874
Source: RNAcentral
GGUUACAUUGUCUUCUCCCACAGCCCAUUCACACCUCUUUUGUUUUUCUACCCAGGCCAUGAAAUGAGUGCCGAUAAGUUGGGACAGCCCUGUUUACUGGGACUUAUCAACUGCUAAUGCAGUCCAGGAGUAAGCAAAUGGCUGGGCAGCAGUAUUUCUUGGGAUAUGCUCUAAGGUAGCCACUGUCAUAAUGUCCCUUCCAGAUCUUAGUUUGGGAAUUGGCCAAUAUAUCCAUCAGAUGGGCACAAAGAAGAGCAAAAACAAUGGCAGGAAUGUGAUGAGAAGAAAGGUAAAUGGAUGCCUGGUGAUGUGUGCCCAGAGACCAAGAGCACUGGGUAAGAGGGGACUCUGGCAGGAAAACCUCAGUUUAGUCCCCUCAGAAUAGGUUUGAGCCAUCUUCCUCCUCUAAGGAGUUUGCUGCAGACAACAUCAACAACCAGCUUCUCAACUACAUUUCUUCCUACCUUAAAAUUUUGAAGCCAUUAUGACCUGAUGUUACAGGAGAUCAUCUAACAGCAAUAAUCCCCCUUUCCGGCACUACAGGACACAGGGAAAGCCUGCAAUUUAUGGAAUAUCUGAUGGCUCAGCUUUCCCCUCCUUUCCUCAGAGUCAUGAUGCCAUGUUCACAUUAAGGUGCACUGAGAAGGGGAGAAUGAUGUAUGGCCUGCAGUCCUUCAACCUUCCAGUCAUCUCCACCCUAAGAAAGGCUAGUGAUGAGUCGGCAAGCAUUAGUUGACAGAGAGUCAAAUUAUCAACAGGAUUAAAAAUAAAUAAAUAAAGCGCUCCAGCAACGCUUCCUAAGAAGACCAGCGGGAAGGGCUUACAGACGAGAACUACUCUAUACCCCAGGAGUUUCUGCUGGAAAUAUAGUUUGGUUAACUGGAAAUCCAGGGCGCUGCAGCAUUUAAAGGU